GAUGAACGCUGGCGGCGUGCCUAAUACAUGCAAGUCGAGCGAACAGACGAGGAGCUUGCUCCUCUGACGUUAGCGGCGGACGGGUGAGUAACACCUCGUUAACCUCCCUAUACGACUUGGAUAACUUCGGGAAACCGGAGCUACUACCGGAUAAUAUAUUGAACCUCAUGCUUCAUUAGUGUAGGAAGGUUUUUCUGUCACUUAUAGAUGGGUCCGCGGCGCAUUAGCUAGUUGGUGGGGUAACGGCUUACCAAGGCGACGAUGCGUAGCCGACCUGAGAGGAGGAUCGGCGAUACUAGAACGGAGGCACGGUCGAGACGACUACGGGAGGCAGCAGUAGGGGAUAUUACGCAAUGGGCGGAGGCCUGACGGAGCAGCGCCGCGUGAGGGGUGAAGGUCUUCGGAUCGUAAAGCUCUGUUAUUGGGAGAGAAGAAAGGUGUAAGUAACUAUGCGCGUCUUGACGGUACCUAAACAGAAAGCCACGGCUAACUACGUG
This 497-nucleotide ribosomal RNA is filed under the name uncultured bacterium. RNAcentral describes it as "partial 16S ribosomal RNA". It matches the Rfam family "Bacterial small subunit ribosomal RNA", at positions 28 to 507 of the family's 1533-position model. The record is from RNAcentral.